RNAcentral lists this ribosomal RNA (911 nucleotides) under Wenyingozyma suzukii. RNAcentral's name for it is "LSU rRNA". It matches the Rfam family "Eukaryotic large subunit ribosomal RNA", at positions 38 to 965 of the family's 3401-position model. The record is from RNAcentral. Lineage: Eukaryota; Fungi; Ascomycota; Pichiomycetes; Pichiales; Pichiaceae.
GCAUAUCAAUAAGCGGAGGAAAAGAAACCAACAGGGAUUGCCUUAGUUAGCGGCGAAGUGAAGCGGCAAGAAGCUCAAAUUUGAAAUCUGGUAUCUUCGAUGCCCGAGUUGUAAUUUGAAGAAAACAAUCUUGGAAUUGGUCCUUGUCUAUGUUCCUUGGAACAGGACGUCACAGAGGGUGAGAAUCCCGUGCGACAAGGAAUUCUUUUCUUUAUAAGAUGUUUUCGAAGAGUCGAGUUGUUUGGGAAUGCAGCUCUAAGUGGGUGGUAAAUUCCAUCUAAAGCUAAAUAUUGGCGAGAGACCGAUAGCGAACAAGUACUGUGAAGGAAAGAUGAAAAGAACUUUGAAAAGAGAGUGAAAAAGUACGUGAAAUUGUUGAAAGGGAAGGGUAUUCGAUCAGACUGGUAUUUAGUUAUCUUUGCUCCUUGUGGGUGAUGAUCUAACUUUUUACUGGGCCAACAUCAGUUUUGGUGGCAAGAUAAUCGCAGUUGAAUGUGGCUCUUUCGGGAGUGUUAUAGCUUCUGUUGAUGUUGCCUACCGGGACUGAGGUCUGCGGCUUUGCCUAGGAUGUUGGCGUAAUGAUCCAAUACCGCCCGUCUUGAAACAUGGACCAAGGAGUCUAACGUCUAUGCGAGUGUUUGGGUGUAAAACCCGUACGCGUAAUGAAAGUGAACGUAGGUGAGGGCCCUCACGGGUGCAUCAUCGACCGAUCCUGAUGUCUUCGGAUGGAUUUGAGUAAGAGCAUAGCUGUUGGGACCCGAAAGAUGGUGAACUAUGCCUGAAUAGGGUGAAGCCAGAGGAAACUACUGGUGGAGGCUACGUAGCGGUUCUGACGUGCAAAUCGAUACGUCGAAUUUGGGUAAUAGGGGCGAAAGACUAAUCGAACCAUCUAGUAGCUGGUUCCUGCCGAA